AGACAUUUUGGAGGAUGUUGUGGCUUAUUGUUAGCAAACUUGCUUGUUUAGUUCAGUCAGUGCAGCUUAACUCCAGGACAAAAUUUUGUGGAUGCAGUCUUUAUUUCCACAGUGUUUAUUUUUUUUAUCCCCUUCAGAAGGUAUCAGCACUUCCUGGAUGGUUGGGAGCACAGUGACCCUGCACUGUAGCAAUAAGUCAAUCAGUGACCUCGUUCAACUAACAUGGAGAAGGAAUGGGACUUGUCUUUUUAGUUUCAGGCCAUGGAAAACCUCAAACAGCAGCUCUGUCACCUUAAGCAGUAAUCAGAAAACCUCAGACAGCAGAAUUAGGACGUUUCCUGCAGCUGCCCCCCUGAAUCUAAAUAUGUCCACAUCGGAAAGCCAAUUGUAUGCACUAAUCAUAGAGAGAGCCCAGAAAAGUCACACAGGAAACUACACUUGUGAAACUACCACAGACUUUGGAGUCUUUGAACAGAAAUGGGAGCUCGUCAUUACAGGUUAGUUUAUCAACUUUUGAAGUUUUCAGAUUACAAAAACCAAACAAAAUAUUACUGUCACACAUUUAUCAUAACUGAAUGUGGGGAUGGGUAGGCCCCAUAAACAGGAACAGGCUGGAAACAAUGGGACUUUCCAUACAUAGAGCUUAUCUCUCACGUCCUCUCUCUCUCUCUCUUUCUCUUUGUUUCUUUGGUAUCAAAGAUAAGUCUAUCUAAAACAUAUUCCAUGUGAUUAUCAAAAGUUAAGCUUUCAGAGCAGGCUGGGGAGAGUUGAGUUUCCCUUAAUAUACUCGUCUACCUCUAUAUGUACACCUGAACACCUUUGGUUACAGUGGCUUUGCUUUCCUGUUUGUAUACAGAGCAGAGACACUGUGGGUACAUGAGUACUUCUUAAAUGCAAAGCUCCCAAGCUUCAAACUUUGACAUGACGCACAAUUACAAUAAGUCACAUUUUAUAAGAGCCAGAAGUCUUUUGCUUUUACAUUUAAGUGAAAUUAACUGAGUAUUAAAACUGCAGUCAAAUGAGUUCCUUUACUAUUUUACAGAGGAAGCUGUGGAUACAUUGGAAAUCCAUAUUGCUACAAUUAUUGUACCUUGCGUGUGUUUCCUGAUCUUUAUAAUUAGUGCUUUGACCUUUCUGAGGCAACUCUGCAAAAAACAGCCAGAAAAUAUCACCCAGUCUCCGACUGUGACAUCG
Long non-coding RNA from Haplochromis burtoni (Burton's mouthbrooder), 1194 nucleotides. RefSeq lists it as uncharacterized. The record is from RefSeq and is a predicted model, not a curated record. NCBI's taxonomy places the organism in Eukaryota, Metazoa, Chordata, Actinopteri, Cichliformes, Cichlidae. The transcript has 2 exons.